Molecule: ribosomal RNA, 492 nt
Filed under: uncultured bacterium
Lineage: Bacteria
Description: partial 16S ribosomal RNA
Rfam family: Bacterial small subunit ribosomal RNA
Source: RNAcentral
AGUGAACGCUGGCGGUAGGCCUAACACAUGCAAGUCGAACGGCAGCACAGUAAGAGCUUGCUCUUACGGGUGGCGAGUGGCGGACGGGUGAGGAAUACAUCGGAAUCUACUUUUUCGUGGGGGAUAACGUAGGGAAACUUACGCUAAUACCGCAUACGACCUACGGUUGAAAGCAGGUGAUCUUCGGACCUUGCGCGAUUGAAUGAGCCGAUGUCGGAUUAGCUAGUUGGCGGGGUAAAGGCCCACCAAGGCGACGAUCCGUAGCUGGUCUGAGAGGAUGAUCAGCCACACUGGAACUGAGACACGGUCCAGACUCCUACGGGAGGCAGCAGUGGGGAAUAUUGGACAAUGGGCGCAAGCAUGAUCCAGCCAUACCGCGUGGGUGAAGAAGGCCUUCGGGUUGUAAAGCCCUUUUGUUGGGAAAGAAAAGCAGCAGGUUAAUACCCCGCUGUUCUGACGGUACCCAAAGAAUAAGCACCGGCUAACUUCGUG